Molecule: long non-coding RNA, 1025 nt
Filed under: Linum usitatissimum (flax)
Lineage: Eukaryota; Viridiplantae; Streptophyta; Magnoliopsida; Malpighiales; Linaceae
Description: long non-coding RNA (LUSI_LNC002846)
Source: RNAcentral
AAUUUUUCAAACUUGAAUCAAAAUGUAUGAUCUCAAAGUUAAUUGAAUGUUUUUUGUGAUUCCAAAGUAAUGUUCUGAGAAAUCAAGGAUUCAAAAUUUCGAAAUUGACAUUUGAAAUAAUAAGAAAUGACCAUUUCUCGACGUCGUACGCGUGCUGUGCAGGUUCAGAGCAAUAACGAGCUCGUACUAUAGGGGAGCCUUGGGUGCACUAGUGGUGUACGACAUUUCCCGGCGGGGGACGUUCCACAACGUCGAGAAAUGGCUCGACGAGCUCCGUGGCUUCAGCAACUCCGAUAUGGUAGUCGUCCUCGUUGGCAACAAGUCCGACGCGGCCCGCCACCUCCGCGAGGUCAGCGAGGAGGACGGCCGGAGUCUCGCGGAAGCGGAAGGGAUCUCCUUCAUGGAGACCUCCGCCAGGGACGGGGUCAACGUCGACGCUGCUUUCCUUGAGAUGAUAGCCAAGAUCCACCUCCGGAACACCUCCCACCGCUCAUUAGACGGCGGCAGCGGCAGAGGGAGGAAUUCCUCUGCCGCCGUUGCUCCGGGGGCGCCGCUUCCCCCAGGGGGCACCUCCGGAACACCUCCCACCGCUCAUUAGACGGCGGCAGCGACAGAGGAAGUAAUUCCUCUGCUGCCGUGGCUCCGGUGUCGUCGCUUCCCAGAGGGAGGGCGAUUCUUAGCUUUGAUGAUGGUGGUGGUGACAACCAAGGCGGAGCAACUAAACCGGCGGAUUCAACCUCUACUAGAAGCUGUUGUUCUUCCUAAAAAAAAGAGAUUGAAAGUUUUCUAACCGCGAGCGGUAAAAGAAAAGAAAUUGAUCGAUGUUACCCCCUCUAUUUUGAUAAUGGUGAGAAAUGUAUACCGAUGUUAACUUUUUUUUGUUUUUACUGUAUGUUUUUGAAGGUUCCCGUCUCAAUUUCGAUAAUCCAGUCCGUAUCGGGAAUCAAAAUUGACAAUCUAAAAACAAUAUUGGUGUGGUAGCUUAGUUAUAAUCUUACGGGGGAUUGUUGAAUUGGAGAAUCGAA